GUUAAUGUAGCUUAUCAAAUAAAGCGAGGCACUGAAAAUGCCUAGAAGGGUCACGAGACUCCAUAAACA
This 69-nucleotide transfer RNA is filed under the name Lontra felina (marine otter). Its description in RNAcentral is "tRNA-Phe". It matches the Rfam family "tRNA". Rfam says of the family: Transfer RNA (tRNA) molecules are approximately 80 nucleotides in length. Their secondary structure includes four short double-helical elements and three loops (D, anti-codon, and T loops). The record is from RNAcentral. Lineage: Eukaryota; Metazoa; Chordata; Mammalia; Carnivora; Mustelidae. RNAcentral also lists the same sequence under 1 other name.